Molecule: ribosomal RNA, 253 nt
Filed under: uncultured Lactobacillales bacterium
Lineage: Bacteria; Bacillati; Bacillota; Bacilli; Lactobacillales
Description: partial 16S ribosomal RNA
Rfam family: Bacterial small subunit ribosomal RNA
Source: RNAcentral
AGCGGCGGACGGGUGAGUAACACGUGGGCAACCUGCCCUGGAGCGGGGGAUAACAUCUGGAAACAGGUGCUAAUACCGCAUGACUACUAAAAACCACAUGGUUUUAGCAUAAAAGAAGGCUUCGGCUUUCACUCUAGGAUGGGCCCGCGGUGCAUUAGCUAGUUGGUAAGGUAACGGCUUACCAAGGCGAUGAUGCAUAGCCGAGUUGAGAGACUGAUCGGCCACAAUGGAACUGAGACACGGUCCAUACUCC